Molecule: ribosomal RNA, 304 nt
Filed under: uncultured bacterium
Lineage: Bacteria
Description: partial 16S ribosomal RNA
Rfam family: Bacterial small subunit ribosomal RNA
Source: RNAcentral
CAGCAGUCGCCGCGGUAAUACGUAGGUGGCAAGCGUUGUCCGGAAUGAUUGGGCGUAAAGGGCGCGCAGGCGGCUGUGUAAGUCUGUCUAGAAAGUGCGGGGCUAAACCCCGUGAGAGGAUGGAAACUGGACAGCUGAGAGUGUCGGAGAGGAAAGCGGAAUUCCUAGUGUAGCGGUGAAAUGCGUAGAUAUUAGGAGGAACACCGGUGGCGAAAGCGGCUUUCUGGACGACAACUGACGCUGAGGCGCGAAAGCCAGGGGAGCAAACGGGAUUAGAUACCCCUGUAGUCCCUGUCUCUUAUAC